RNAcentral lists this non-coding RNA (288 nucleotides) under Triticum aestivum (bread wheat). Lineage: Eukaryota; Viridiplantae; Streptophyta; Magnoliopsida; Poales; Poaceae. The record is from RNAcentral.
AUGGUUCACUGGAGUAGGCUGCGAGGCCCAAGCGGCCAAGGAGUGCAGCGGCCCGUUAUCCUUCCACCGUUGGAAGCGGGCAGUUGUCGCUGCUCUGUGAAGCCAGCCUCACGCUGUGCCUGCCACAUUAUGGACCGUGAGGCCCAGCUUUCGCAUAGGCCCCAGCGGUCCACUACGCAACUUGGAACGGCGGGCCUGCAGUAGCACACCCGGACCAGGCCCGCAGCGCUACAACAGCGUCCACAUCACCUUAAUGCCCCCACUCGGGUUACAAGCUCUCGUAACUGA